AUUGAACGCUGGCGGCAGGCCUAACACAUGCAAGUCGGACGGUAGCACAGAGGAGCUUGCUCCUUGGGUGACGAGUGGCGGACGGGUGAGUAAUGUCUGGGGAUCUGCCCGAUAGAGGGGGAUAACCACUGGAAACGGUGGCUAAUACCGCACAACGUCGCAAGACCAAAGAGGGGGACCUUCGGGCCUCUCACUAUCGGAUGAACCCAGAUGGGAUUAGCUAGUAGGCGGGGUAAUGGCCCACCUAGGCGACGAUCCCUAGCUGGUCUGAGAGGAGGACCAGCCACACUGGAACUGAGACACGGUCCAGACUCCUACGGGAGGCAGCAGUGGGGAAUAUCGCACAAUGGGCGCAAGCCUGAUGCAGCCAUGCCGCGUGUAUGAAGAAGGCCUUCGGGUUGUAAAGUACUUUCAGCGGGGAGGAAGGCGAUGCGGUUAAUAACCGCAUCGAUUGACGUUACCCGCAGAAGAAGCACCGGCUAACUCCGUGCCAGCCGCCGCAGUAA
This 506-nucleotide ribosomal RNA is filed under the name uncultured bacterium. RNAcentral describes it as "partial 16S ribosomal RNA". It matches the Rfam family "Bacterial small subunit ribosomal RNA", at positions 29 to 523 of the family's 1533-position model. The record is from RNAcentral.